CAUAAGAGACUACACCGUUUUUUGCUGGAGGGCUUUCAGAAGAAAAUAUAGAUCUCUCUUUGUUAGCCCGUUUAGGUGAUUCUGACCGCGAAUAGUGAGAUAAGGACCUGCUCCUACUCCGACGCGAACCCCGCCUUUUGGCAUGAGGUGAUGCACGGUACCUUGUUGUCUUCAUGGGAGACCGCGAAUGAGAUAAGGACCUGCUCCUACUCCGACGCGAACCCCGCCUUUUGGCAUGAGGUGAUGCACGGUACCUUGUUGUCUUCAUGGGGGACCGCGAAUGAGAUAAGGACCUGCUCCUACUCCAACGCGAACUCCGCCUUUUGGCACGAGGUAAUGCACAGUACCUUGUCUUCAUGGGAGAUCUACUGAGACUCCGACGUCGAUU
RNAcentral lists this long non-coding RNA (388 nucleotides) under Daucus carota (carrot). RNAcentral's name for it is "long non-coding RNA (DCAR_LNC001508)". The record is from RNAcentral. Lineage: Eukaryota; Viridiplantae; Streptophyta; Magnoliopsida; Apiales; Apiaceae.